RNAcentral lists this ribosomal RNA (372 nucleotides) under uncultured organism. RNAcentral's name for it is "partial 16S ribosomal RNA". It matches the Rfam family "Bacterial small subunit ribosomal RNA", at positions 527 to 896 of the family's 1533-position model. The record is from RNAcentral.
GUAGGUGGCAAGCGUUGUCCGGAAUUAUUGGGCGUAAAGCGCGCGCAGGCGGUUCUUUAGGUCUGAUGUGAAAGCCCACGGCUCAACCGUGGAGAGUCAUUGGAAACUGGAGAACUUGAGUACAGAAGAGGAAAGCGGAAUUCCACGUGUAGCGGUGAAAUGCGUAGAGAUGUAGAGGAACACCAGUGGCGAAGGCGGCUUUCUGGUCUGUAACUGACGCUGAGGCGCGAAAGCGUGGGGAGCAAACAGGAUUAGAUACCCUGGUAGUCCACGCCGUAAACGAUGAGUGCUAAGUGUUAGGGGGUUUCCGCCCCCCUUAGUGCUGCAGCUAACGCAUUAAGCACUCCGCCUGGGAGUACGGCCGCAAGGCUG